AGUGGGAUAGCUGGGUCAAAUGGUGGUUCCAUUUCCAAGAAAUUUCCAUAAUGCUUUCCAUUAUUGGCUGCACCAAUUUGCAGUCCCACCAGCAAU
Molecule: microRNA precursor, 96 nt
Filed under: Marmota monax (woodchuck)
Lineage: Eukaryota; Metazoa; Chordata; Mammalia; Rodentia; Sciuridae
Source: RNAcentral